AAAAUUCACAGCCCCGUGGAGCUGGCGCUCUCUCAUUCACAGUUUUCUAGAGAGAUCUKAGCCUGAACCUGGGAGCCGGGAGAUCUUUCUCGCCCACCCAGCUCAAGAGCACGGACACCUACCGCGGGGGAAAUACUCACCCCACGCAGCCCCCCGCCGCCUCAAGGCAAGGCAGCCUGGCUCUACGCAGUAAGUGAUGGAGUAAAUGGCUCUUUCCUUUGGAUGGAUUAUACUACGUAUGAGCUGCAUGUUGCUCUUUCUGCAAGAAUAAGAAAAAGUUUCAACUUUCAUUUGUUAAAUAUCAACUUGAUAGCAAAAUUUUUCUGAAUGGCUUACUCU
Long non-coding RNA from Nothoprocta perdicaria, 339 nucleotides. RefSeq lists it as uncharacterized. The transcript is spliced from 2 exons. The record is from RefSeq and is a predicted model, not a curated record. NCBI's taxonomy places the organism in Eukaryota, Metazoa, Chordata, Aves, Tinamiformes, Tinamidae.